GGAGAAUGUAUCUAGGGUUAGGAGAAUGUAUCUAGGGUUGGGAGAAUGUAUCUAGGGUUAGGAGAAUGUAUCUAGGGUUAGGAGAAUGUAUCUAGGGGUAGGGUUAGGAGAAUGUAUCUAGGGUUAGGAGAAUGAGAAUGUAUCUAGGGUUAGGAGAAUGUAUCUAGGGUUAGGAGAAUGUAUCUAGGGUUAGGAGAAUGUAUCUAGGGUUAGGGUUAGGAGAAUGUAUCUAGGGUUAGGAGAAUGUAUCUAGGGUUAGGAGAAUGUAUCUAGGGUUAGGAGAAUGUAUCUGGGGUUAGGAGAAUGUAUCUAGGGUUAGGAGAAUGUAUCUAGGGUUAGGAGAAUGUAUCUAGGGUUAGGAGAAUGUAUCUAGGGUUAGGAGAAUGUAUCUAGGGUUAGGAGAAUGUAUCUAGGGUUAGGGUUAGGAGAAUGUAUCUAGGGUUAGGAGAAUGUAUCUAGGGUUAGGGUUAGGAGAAUGUAUCUAGGGUUAGGAGAAUGUAUCUAGGGUUAGGGUUAGGAGAAUGUAUCUAGGGUUAGGAGAAUAUAUCUAGGGUUAGGAGAAUGUAUCUAGGGUUAGGAGAAUGUAUCUGGGGUUAGGAGAAUGUAUCUAGGGUUAGGAGAAUGUAUCUGGGGUUAGGAGAAUGUAUCUAGGGUUAGGAGAAUGUAUCUAGGGUUAGGAGAAUGUAUCUAGGGUUAGGAGAAUGUAUCUAGGGUUAGGAGAAUGUAUCUGGGGUUAGGAGAAUGUAUCUGGGGUUAGGAGAAUGUAUCUAGGGUUAGGAGAAUGUAUCUGGGGUUAGGAGAAUGUAUCUAGGGUUAGGAGAAUGUAUAGAUAAUGAUAUUAAAUCAAUUGAACAUGACUUAAAUGUAAGACAAAUACAUUGUGUGUGUGUGUGUGUGUGUGUGUGUGUGUGUGUGUGUGUGUGUGUGUGUGUGUGUGUGUGUGUGUGUGUGUGUGUGUGUGUGUGUUUAG
RNAcentral lists this long non-coding RNA (970 nucleotides) under Salmo salar (Atlantic salmon). RNAcentral describes it as "lncRNA (ENSSSAG00000093711.1)". The record is from RNAcentral. Lineage: Eukaryota; Metazoa; Chordata; Actinopteri; Salmoniformes; Salmonidae.